This 212-nucleotide unclassified non-coding RNA is filed under the name uncultured fungus. RNAcentral describes it as "sequence contains ITS1, 5.8S rRNA gene". The stretch from base 164 to 212 matches the Rfam family "5.8S ribosomal RNA", at positions 1 to 49 of the family's 154-position model. Lineage: Eukaryota; Fungi. The record is from RNAcentral.
UCUCCGUUGGUGAACCAGCGGAGGGAUCAUUACUGGAAUCGCAAGACUCCCAACCCCUGUGAACGUACCGAAACGUUGCCUCGGCGGGCCUCGCGCCCGCCGGCGGCCCCACCAAACUCUUGUUUUUAGUGUCUCUUCUGAGUUAAACAAACAAAUGAAUCAAAACUUUCAACAACGGAUCUCUUGGUUCUGGCAUCGAUGAAGAACGCAGC